AUUGUAGUUGUUGUACUGAAGCUGAAAGGAACCAGGCCUGGAUCCAUCAGAAUUCAGUUUACAAGACAAAGGCUACCGACUUGCAGUUGUUACCAAAACAAGAACAACGUUUGUGUUCAGUGUGAAGACUUGAAGAACGAGCGAAAGACUGAGAUGUGCCUGUUGGUGUCCUCGCCAUGAUACAGUCAAAGAAUCCAUAUCCCAGAUUUGAGCCAGUUGGUCAUGUUGCCCUGACCAUGAAGUUGUCCAAAGGGUUAUGGAUGUUCCCAGGCUAGAGGUCAGCAGCUCGGGAUCUGAGCCACCUCUGUGACCUACACCACAUCUCAUGGCAACAUGGGAUCCUUGAUCCACUGAGCAAAGCCAGGGAUUGAACCCACGUCAUCAUGGAUACCCACCUGCCACAACGGGAACUCCUGAUUGAUUUUUUUUAAGCCAAAACCUCCAAGAAAAAGGACAUUAUGGUACACCUAAUAAUAGAAAGACUAAGCUAUUAUAGCAACUCUGUCUUAAUGAGAGUUGAUACACCAGCUCAGUCUUUCCUAAAACAAGCACAGACAGCAUCUAUUGCUCCAAAGAACAUGAAGGGUUGCAAUGACUCCUGGGUCCCAUGAGAGGUGAUGUUUGGGUAAAGAUAUCACGAAGAAUCUGUGCUAUUUCAAAUACCCAGGAAAUUAAUUAAUAAAGAUGUUUCUGGAAGUUAGAGAUUUGGCCAACUGAACUCAUUCCCCAUGGUGACUUCUUCCUGAGAGCAGAUUCCAUCAUGCCCUUGGGUCAUACUGAGAAUCAGUGUAAAACCAUCACAGCUUGUCAUCUUCUAGGAAAGUAUGUUUCAGGAGAGGAUCUGUCUUUAUAUAAGAAUCUAGAAUUCAUGGGAGUUUCCAUCGUGGCUCAUCCUUAACGAACCUGACUAUUAUCCAUAAGAAUGUGGGUUUGAUCCCUGGCCCUGCUCAGUGGGUUAAGGAUCCAGUAUUACCAUGAGCUGUGGAGUAGCUUGUGGACGCGGCUCAGAUCUGGCGGUGUUGCUGUGGCUGUGGCUGGCAGCUACCGCUCUGAUUUGACCCCUAGCCUGGGAACUUCCAUAUGUUGCAGGUGCGGCCCUAAAAAGACAUUAAAAAAAAAAAA
This 1122-nucleotide long non-coding RNA is filed under the name Sus scrofa (pig). RNAcentral's name for it is "lncRNA (ENSSSCG00015047763.1)". Lineage: Eukaryota; Metazoa; Chordata; Mammalia; Artiodactyla; Suidae. The record is from RNAcentral.